This 642-nucleotide ribosomal RNA is filed under the name uncultured bacterium. RNAcentral describes it as "bacterial SSU rRNA". It matches the Rfam family "Bacterial small subunit ribosomal RNA", at positions 100 to 747 of the family's 1533-position model. The record is from RNAcentral.
GACGAGUGAGUAACACGUAAGAAAUCUACCCCGAAGAAAGGAACAACUUGCCGAAAGGCGAGCUAAUACCUUAUAUAAUCCUGGAAUGGCAUCAUACCGGGAUGAAAGCCGUAAGGCGCUUUGGGAGGAUCUUGCGACCUAUCAGCUUGUUGGUGAGGUAACGGCUCACCAAGGCUAUGACGGGUAGCCGGCCUGAAAGGGCGACCGGCCACGGAGGCACUGAGACACGGGCCUCACUCCUACGGGAGGCAGCAGUGGGGAAUUUUGGACAAUGGGGGAAACCCUGAUCCAGCAACGCUGCGUGAAGGACGAAGGUCUUCGGAUUGUAAACUUCUUUUGUUCGGGACGAAUGCCCGCAAGGGUUUGACGGUACCGGAUGAAUAAGCCACGGCUAACUACGUGCCAGCAGCCGCGGUAAGACGUAGGUGGCGAGCGUUACUCGGAAUCACUAGGCGUAAAGCGCGUGUAGGCGGGUGCUUAAGUCUGCUGUGAAAUCUCCCGGCUCAACUGGGAGGGGUCAGCAGAUACUGGGCGUCUGGAGUGAGGCAGGGGGUACUGGAAUUCCCGGUGUAGCGGUGAAAUGCGUAGAUAUCGGGAGGAACAUCAAUGGCGAAGGCAGGUACCUGGGCCUUUACUGACGCU